RNAcentral lists this ribosomal RNA (526 nucleotides) under uncultured bacterium. Its description in RNAcentral is "bacterial SSU rRNA". It matches the Rfam family "Bacterial small subunit ribosomal RNA", at positions 777 to 1314 of the family's 1533-position model. The record is from RNAcentral.
AAUAGAUACCCUGGUAGUCCACGCCGUAAACGGUGGGCACUAGGUGUGGGCGACAUUCCACGUCGUCCGUGCCGCAGCUAACGCAUUAAGUGCCCCGCCUGGGGAGUACGGCCGCAAGGCUAAAACUCAAAGGAAUUGACGGGGGGCCCGCACAAGCAGCGGAGCGUGUGGUUUAAUUCGUCGCAACGCGAAGAACCUUACCAGGGCUUGACAUGUGGCGGAAAACGGCGGAAACGUCGUCCUCCCGCAAGGGACCGUCAUGCAGGUGUUGCAUGGCUGUCGUCAGCUCGUGUCGUGAGAUGUUGGGUUAAGUCCCGCAACGAGCGCAACCCCCGUGGCAUGUUGUAUCUCUCAUGCCAGACUGCCGAGAGAAACUCGGAGGAAGGUGGGGAUGACGCCAAGUCAGCAUGGCCCUUACGUCCUGGGCUACACACACGCUACAAUGGCCGGUACAACGGGUUGCCAAACCGCGAGGUGGAGCUAAUCCCUUAAAGCCGGUCUCAGUUCGGAUUGCAGGCUGCACUCG